AUCACAUUGGAGUUUGGAGAGUCAACACAAUUUGGCACUCCAGUAGCAGGGAACCAUGGAGACCAGUGUCAUUGCCCAUAUGUUGGAAAGCUACUAAAUGAAACCCCUAUGUAACAGGUCGACAAAUCUACUGCGGCAAUUGAAGGAGUGCUCUUGUUUGACCUGGCCUCACCUGGUUCCUGAAUGACUGACUACAUUGGUAUUGUCCAGCCUCCUGCCCCA
This is a long non-coding RNA of Fukomys damarensis (Damara mole-rat), 222 nucleotides long. RefSeq lists it as uncharacterized. NCBI's taxonomy places the organism in Eukaryota, Metazoa, Chordata, Mammalia, Rodentia, Bathyergidae. The transcript is spliced from 3 exons. The record is from RefSeq and is a predicted model, not a curated record.